RNAcentral lists this ribosomal RNA (497 nucleotides) under uncultured bacterium. Its description in RNAcentral is "partial 16S ribosomal RNA". It matches the Rfam family "Bacterial small subunit ribosomal RNA", at positions 28 to 507 of the family's 1533-position model. The record is from RNAcentral.
GAUGAACGCUGGCGGCGUGCCUAAUACAUGCAGGUCGAGCGAACGGACGAGAAGCUUGCUUCUCUGAUGUUAGCGGCGGACGGGUGAGUAACACGUUGAUAACCUACCUAUAAGACUGGGAUAACUUCGGGAAACCGGAGCUAAUACCGGAUAAUAUUUUGAACCGCAUGGUUCAAAAGUGAAAGACGGUCUUGCUGUCACUUAUAGAUGGAUCCGCGCUGCAUUAGCUAGUUGGUAAGGUAACGGCUUACCAAGGCAACGAUGCAUAGCCGACCUGAGAGGGUGAUCGGCCACACUGGAACUGAGACACGGUCCAGACUCCUACGGGAGGCAGCAGUAGGGAAUCUUCCGCAAUGGGCGAAAGCCUGACGGAGCAACGCCGCGUGAGUGAUGAAGGUCUUCGGAUCGUAAAACUCUGUUAUUAGGGAAGAACAUAUGUGUAAGUAACUGUGCACAUCUUGACGGUACCUAAUCAGAAAGCCACGGCUAACUACGUG